GAGUUUGAUCCUGGCUCAGGAUGAACGCUAGCUACAGGCUUAACACAUGCAAGUCGAGGGGCAGCAUGAACUUAGCUUGCUAAGUUUGAUGGCGACCGGCGCACGGGUGAGUAACACGUAUCCAACCUGCCAAUGACUCGGGGAUAGCCUUUCGAAAGAAAGAUUAAUACCCGAUGGCAUAGUUCUUCCGCAUGGUAGGACUAUUAAAGAAUUUCGGUCAUCGAUGGGGAUGCGUUCCAUUAGCUUGUUGGCGGGGUAACGGCCCACCAAGGCAUCGAUGGAUAGGGGUUCUGAGAGGAAGGUCCCCCACAUUGGAACUGAGACACGGUCCAAACUCCUACGGGAGGCAGCAGUGAGGAAUAUUGGUCAAUGGGCGCUAGCCUGAACCAGCCAAGUAGCGUGAAGGAUGACUGCCCUAUGGGUUGUAAACUUCUUUUAUAUGGGAAUAAAGUGCAGUAUGUAUACUGCUUUGCAUGUACCUUAUGAAUAAGGAUCGGCUAACUCCGUGCCAGCAGCCGCGGUAAUACGGAGGAUCCGAGCGUUAUCCGGAUUUAUUGGGUUUAAAGGGAGCGUAGGCGGGUUGUUAAGUCAGUUGUGAAAGUUUGCGGCUCAACCGUAAAAUUGCAGUUGAUACUGGCAUCCUUGAGUACAGUAGAGGUAGGCGGAAUUCGUGGUGUAGCGGUGAAAUGCUUAGAUAUCACGAAGAACUCCGAUUGCGAAGGCAGCCUGCUGGACUGUAACUGACGCUGAUGCUCGAAAGUGUGGGUAUCAAACAGGAUUAGAUACCCUGGUAGUCCACACAGUAAACGAUGAAUACUCGCUGUUUGCGAUAUACAGUAAGCGGCCAAGCGAAAGCGUUAAGUAUUCCACCUGGGGAGUACGCCGGCAACGGUGAAACUCAAAGGAAUUGACGG
This 914-nucleotide ribosomal RNA is filed under the name uncultured bacterium. Its description in RNAcentral is "bacterial SSU rRNA". It matches the Rfam family "Bacterial small subunit ribosomal RNA", at positions 9 to 916 of the family's 1533-position model. The record is from RNAcentral.